RNAcentral lists this long non-coding RNA (929 nucleotides) under Brachypodium distachyon (stiff brome). RNAcentral's name for it is "long non-coding RNA (BDIS_LNC006010)". The record is from RNAcentral. Lineage: Eukaryota; Viridiplantae; Streptophyta; Magnoliopsida; Poales; Poaceae.
ACGGUUGCCGAUGCUUGAAAACACACGGCAGACAUGCGUAUACAUAUCGCCCACGCCAGCCACGUAUGCUCAGGCUAAAAUAGAGCUACACUACAUGCAUAGGAAUAGGAGGCGCUACCCUGAACCGCCCGAUCCGCUGUUGGACGGCCGAUACUAGCUCGGUGCUCGGACCGACGUGCACGGGCCGCAAACACGACAUCCGACACGCGCGCGUUCGAAGCUUGGUGCCCCUCCUUGCCCCCUAUGUUGUCUCGUUUCUUCAUAUUUAGAUGUAGAAAUAUGGAGAUGACUGGAUCAGGAGAGAGACUCAGAUCGUCUUGCCCCCUGGGUUGUCUCGUUUGUUCAUAUUUUUAUAUUUUUUUUAUUAUUAUAAACUUGUUCAAAUGCCCUGAUCUAAAACCUUGUUCUGAAAUAGACGACGUAUCAUGCAUUUCAAAGUUAGAGUUUGAUCGAGAAUCGGAACACUAGAUGUUGGUCAUAUGACACAAGUAACGUGGAACCGUGGAUUCACAUUUGAAAUCAUUUUUCGCUAUGUGUUUUUAUUCUUUUUUCAGGCCCUGUCUAAAUCUUGAUACGCAAAAACUCUAUUUGGUCUCUGUUCAGUUGUUUAUUGUCAGUCAUAUGUUGGUCAGAUUAUUCUUAAGCAUCUCAUUCACUGGCAAUAAAACAUAGUUUGAUGCGGCAGUUUAAAGCGUUUUAGGCUAGUUUUCGGUACACUACUAUUUCUGAUCACCUGGUCGCCUUGUUUUAACUACAGAUUUCUUUGUCAAUAUAAACAGCGCUGGUUACGGUUGUUUCCUAAAAAAACACUCUUGUCAAAAAAACAUCAGUACAGUUUUAAUUAGAUUUUUUUUAUCAAACUAGAAAAGUCAAAAUUGACGCUUGAACGAUUAAUCACCUUAUGUAAAAAAAAACGCAUCGACUAGCUA